RNAcentral lists this long non-coding RNA (656 nucleotides) under Nicotiana benthamiana. RNAcentral describes it as "long non-coding RNA (NBEN_LNC007829)". The record is from RNAcentral. Lineage: Eukaryota; Viridiplantae; Streptophyta; Magnoliopsida; Solanales; Solanaceae.
CUCCAUCGAACAGCUUCCCUAACGCGCACAGUCCCAGCAGUAGAUAGGCUCUAGCCAGAUGUCCGUCUUCAUUUCCUUUAGCAUUCUGGAAAUCUUCGACCCUCUUGUGAAAUUUCUUCUCCAACUCUACUAUACCUCGCUCCAAAUACCCCAGUCACUUGCCGGUGCUGACAGCCAUAUCCUUCCACUCUUCAGUUAGUUUUUGAUUGGCUUCCUAUUUCUCACGGUGCUCGCUUUUGCAUACCCGGAUCCUCUUGUGUAGUUGGUUGUACUUGACCUGUGCUUCGGCAUUUUCAUCUAUGAUCCUGUAAGCUCAAAUAAACCCAGGUUCUCCCAGACCAUCAUGCCUAUCCUCCAACCAAACUAAAUAAUAGGGAACAGAACCAGCGUGGUAUCUAUCGGGCUCGAUGGUAUCCCUUCCAAUGACAAUCUUGCAUAUGCUAAUCCUGGCAUUUAUAAGGACUAUCGUCAUCCUAGAAGUCGGCCUGGAAGUGACUCAUCUUACUGGGUAUAACCUGCUUCCUACCUGCUUGUCUCAUAACGUGGAGAGGUACAUAAGGAUAUGUUCCUCUUAAGCCAAUUAGUAUUAGGAAAGGUGCAUAUCUGGAUCGGACGAUAAACUCCUCGGUCAAAAACCACUCGAACAUCCAUUGUAU